Gossypium arboreum is the source of this 626-nucleotide long non-coding RNA. RefSeq lists it as uncharacterized. Lineage: Eukaryota; Viridiplantae; Streptophyta; Magnoliopsida; Malvales; Malvaceae. The transcript is spliced from 2 exons. The record is from RefSeq and is a predicted model, not a curated record.
GGUGCAAAGGAGAAGGAUCAGACGUGAAAAUUUUCCAUUCUAAACAAAAGGGCGCGGAUCUGGACUAUUAAUCGGGUCAAAGCGCGGAUUUCUAUUCCCUUGAACGGUGCUGUUUUUUUAUUAUACCUUUAAACAAACAUUUUCAACAAUUAUCUUUUAAACAUAACCUACUUUUAAUCUCUUUCUUUUUUAAAAAAAAAACAGCAGCAACCAUUAACCCCCAAUUGAUAGGGUUUCAUUUGGCUUACAGCCGACGAGCCAGUAUUUCGAUUAGUGGCCGACGACGUACGAUUAACGGCUAGAUCUUUGCCCGCGAAAGUCACAACCAUGGAGAUCCAGUACGGAGGUACGGGGCUAGCUGUGGGGAUAUGUGGCAUUCAACGUGGGGCGUACGGAGGCGUUGGAGGCGGUUGUACGAUGCGAAGGCUAUCGGGCUUGUAAUUUGGGUCUAGGUUUAGUUAUUGGGCUUGUUUGGGUCUUGGGUUAUGUUGUUGGGUUUGGGUUUAAUUUUUGUUUAUUUUGUAUUUUGGUGGACCCGAGCAAAUUGGCCCGUUUACAAAAUUGAAAGGAAAAUUAUGUGUUUAAUAAAAUUAAGUCAACAAAAUAAUUUGGGUUAACAUGUAAAA